This 274-nucleotide ribosomal RNA is filed under the name uncultured bacterium. RNAcentral describes it as "partial 16S ribosomal RNA". It matches the Rfam family "Bacterial small subunit ribosomal RNA", at positions 523 to 796 of the family's 1533-position model. The record is from RNAcentral.
AUACGGAGGGUGCGAGCGUUAAUCGGAAUUACUGGGCGUAAAGCGUACGUAGGCGGUUCGUUAAGUUAGAUGUGAAAGCCCCGGGCUUAACCUGGGAACUGCAUUUAAAACUGGCGAACUAGAGUUAAGUAGAGGGGAGUGGAAUUUCAGGUGUAGCGGUGAAAUGCGUAGAGAUCUGAAGGAACACCAGUGGCGAAGGCGACUCCCUGGACUUGAACUGACGCUGAGGUACGAAAGCGUGGGUAGCAAACGGGAUUAGAAACCCCAGUAGUCC